UACGUAGGGGGCAAGCGUUGUCCGGAUUCAUUGGGCGUAAAGAGCGUGUAGGCGGCCAGGUAGGUCGGUUGUGAAAACUGGAGGCUCAACCUUCAGAGGUCGACCGAAACCAUCUGGCUAGAGUCCGGGAGAGGAGAGUGGAAUUCCUGGUGUAGCGGUGAAAUGCGCAGAUAUCAGGAGGAACACCGGUGGCGAAGGCGGCCUGCUGGGCAGUGGCUGACGCUGAGGCGCGACAGCGUGGGGAGCAAACAGG
RNAcentral lists this ribosomal RNA (253 nucleotides) under uncultured bacterium. RNAcentral's name for it is "partial 16S ribosomal RNA". It matches the Rfam family "Bacterial small subunit ribosomal RNA", at positions 524 to 776 of the family's 1533-position model. The record is from RNAcentral.